GGAUAGUUAGGUAUUCUGGAAUUAGUCUUAUGCUAGAUUCUGGAAUAUGAUUGAUUGUGUUAAUUUUCGAUUAAUAUCAGGAACAUUGUGUUAUUUUACCCGGUUUAGUAUUAAUCAUUUAUUGGCCAUAUAGCAUUGGUGUAACCCACAAUGCUAGGCAUGUUUAAGGUGGAUGUGUUGAUUUUGUGGUGACUAUUACUAGGAACCUUGUGUUAUAUUACCGGGUUUAGUAUUAGUCGUAUAUUGGCCGAUAGCAUUUGUGUAACCCAUAAUGCUAGGCAUAUUGGGGUGAGUUAGUGUUCCUUCAGACCUCGUACUCGUCAGGUUCAAAGAAACCCCUUAUUCGCUGGAUCGGGAAGACUCAGAUAGACGGGGUCAUGGAAUAUGGCUGAGUGAUUACAUCACGGUGUAAUGUGGCAGUGACCCGAAGGACUGUGGGCUGUCGCGCGGUGACCCGAAGGACAGUGGGCCGCGGUCGGUUGAAAGUUCCUUCUUCUGGCCUUUAUGGUAGGAAGAUAGGAUAUUGCCGAUAGUGAAGAAGGAACAUAACGUCACCAGGGCCCGAGUUUGGUAUAUAUAUUAUAUCGUGUUUGGGUUGUUUAAACCAUGGUUUAAAUCGAGUUUGAGUUUGGUGAUGAGCUAGUAAUUAGCAUAAUGCUAGUUAUCUUGCUAUUGUUUACCGCUGCGUAUUUCAGAUAUUGCUUAUUGUUAUUGAAUUGUGUUGUUAGGUGAACCUCUCGAUUUAGAUUGUUUGGGGUGGGAUAGCGAGGGGUUGUAUUUGUUAGUUGGGGAUUGUAACUCGCUGAGUAAUUCUAGAUUACUCACUCCUCACUCGUUGUUGUUUUCAGGUGACCAGU
RNAcentral lists this long non-coding RNA (857 nucleotides) under Brassica napus (rape). RNAcentral's name for it is "long non-coding RNA (BNAP_LNC024008)". The record is from RNAcentral. Lineage: Eukaryota; Viridiplantae; Streptophyta; Magnoliopsida; Brassicales; Brassicaceae.